UUGCAGACUGUUAUCCCUUUUUGGUCUGCUGUGACCCUAGAGGGAGUCUGUCUGCUAAAGUGAAACCCUGAGCCCAGGACAGUGCUGUCUGCAGCGGGCCUGACCGCCUCUGAGCUCUGUGGACAAAC
Molecule: small nucleolar RNA, 128 nt
Organism: Sinocyclocheilus anshuiensis
Lineage: Eukaryota; Metazoa; Chordata; Actinopteri; Cypriniformes; Cyprinidae
Source: Ensembl